RNAcentral lists this ribosomal RNA (843 nucleotides) under uncultured Chloroflexota bacterium. RNAcentral's name for it is "bacterial SSU rRNA". It matches the Rfam family "Bacterial small subunit ribosomal RNA", at positions 28 to 895 of the family's 1533-position model. The record is from RNAcentral. Lineage: Bacteria; Bacillati; Chloroflexota.
GAUAAACGCUGGCGGCGUGCUUUAUGCAUGCAAGUCGAACGGUCUCGAUUUAUCGAGAUAGUGGCGAAUGGGUGAGUAACAGGUAAGUAACCUGCCCCAUAAGUGGGGAAUAACCUCGGGAAACCGGGGCUAAUACCUCAGUGGUGGUGGAGGUAAUGCUUCAUCACUAAAGCCUUCGGGUGCUUGGGGAGGGGCUUGCCUCUGAUUAGCUAGUUGGUAGGGUAACGGCUUACCAAGGCGACGAUCGGUAGCUGGUCUGAGAGGAUGGUCAGCCACACUGGGACUGAGACACGGCCCAGACUCCUACGGGAGGCAGCAGCAAGGAAUUUUGUGCAAUGGGCGAAAGCCUGACACAGCAACGCCGCGUGGGGGAUGAAGGCCUUCGGGUCGUAAACCCCUUUUCUCAGGGAAGAAUAAUGACGGUACCUGAGGAAUAAGCCUCGGCUAACUACGUGCCAGCAGCCGCGGUAAUACGUAGGAGGCGAGCGUUAUCCGAAUUUACUGGGCGUAAAGAGGGCGUAGGCGGCCUUUCAAGUCGGAUGUGAAAUCUCCCGGCUUAACCGGGAGGGGUCAUCCGAUACUGUUGGGCUAGAGGGCAGCAAGGGAAGGUAGAAUUCCCGGUGUAGUGGUGAAAUGCGUAGAUAUCGGGAGGAAUACCAGUGGCGAAGGCGGCCUUCUGGGCUGUUUCUGACGCUGAGGCCCGAAAGUGUGGGUAGCGAACAGGAUUAGAUACCCUGGUAGUCCACACCAUAAACGAUGGACACUAGGUAUAGGGAGUAUCGACCCUCUCUGUGCCGAAGCUAACGCCUUAAGUGUCCCGCCUGGGGACACGGCCGCAAGGCU